Molecule: long non-coding RNA, 892 nt
Organism: Homo sapiens (human)
Lineage: Eukaryota; Metazoa; Chordata; Mammalia; Primates; Hominidae
Product: long intergenic non-protein coding RNA 523
Source: Ensembl
GGUGUACACAGCAGGAAGCUGUGCUCUUCCUGAUGGACGUCAGCUCCUAUCUCUCCUGGGGAGUGGAGGCUGCUCUGGAGUGGGGCCAAGAUCGGGAGGCCCAGGAGAGAAAAGGGCCUGCAAUCUACCUCCCAGUCAACAAGAUGCUAUAAUAAAAACAUAGCCAACUGUCACUCAGCGUUUAUUACGGUGCCAGAUGAGGAAACAGGUGCAGAACCGUGGAGUAACCUGCGCAGGGUCUCCAGUAGAAAAACAGGCCCUUGGUCAGAUGAAUUUACCCACUUCGGCCACCAGGGGCGCUGUUGGCACAGCUUGAACUCGAGACCAGCGCUGUCCAACGGAAACCGAACGUGAGGAACGUGAGCUUGGGGAGGCAGAGGACAAAGCCUGGCCUGCAAGACACUGAGCUUCACCUCUUCCAGGAGGACGACAUCAUCACCAUUUCUCAGAUGAGGAAACUGAGGCUCAGAGAGAUGCAGUGACCCACCAAGGCUGAGUGCAGGAAUGUUGGCCCUCAGCAUCCACCCUGGGCCCUGCAUUGCCCUGGUUGUCUAUGUGGCCCCAGCCCUCCUGGGCCAUUUUGAUCUGUUUUGUGCAUUUGGGGCACGUGUAUGAGAGCAUGUUUGGAGAACUAUGCUUUAUAGCAAGAAGGUUUGAAAUCACCAGACUCAGCCUUUCAGCGUAGGAGGGAGACUGAGGCUGGAGAGGGCGAGGCAGGAGCCUGGCCCACAUGCAGGGCCGGGAGUCUCCCUGGGCAGCAGAGGGUCUGGGCAGAACAUGGAUGUCCAUACGGUUAUUAAGAAGGGGUGGCUGGGCACCCUGCCCGAAAUGUCCUCGGUCACCCACUCACGUUCCAGGAGGCAACUGGGCCCCGGGAAGCGAAUUCUCCAGG